This 230-nucleotide unclassified non-coding RNA is filed under the name uncultured fungus. RNAcentral describes it as "sequence contains ITS1, 5.8S rRNA gene". The stretch from base 182 to 230 matches the Rfam family "5.8S ribosomal RNA", at positions 1 to 49 of the family's 154-position model. Lineage: Eukaryota; Fungi. The record is from RNAcentral.
UCUCCGUAGGUGAACCUGCGGAGGGAUCAUUACUGAGUGAGGGGCUCCGGCCCCAGACCUCCAACCCAUUGUUAUCCGACACUGUUGCCUCCGGGGCGACCCGGCCUUCGGGCGUCGGGGUCCCGGGUGGACCAUUCAAACACUGCAUCUUUGCGUCUGAGUACACGAUUGAAUCAAUCAAAACUUUCAACAACGGAUCUCUUGGUUCUGGAAUCGAUGAAGAACGCAGC